This 292-nucleotide ribosomal RNA is filed under the name uncultured bacterium. RNAcentral describes it as "partial 16S ribosomal RNA". It matches the Rfam family "Bacterial small subunit ribosomal RNA", at positions 505 to 796 of the family's 1533-position model. The record is from RNAcentral.
GUGUCAGCAGCCGCGGUAAUACGGAGGGGGCUAGCGUUGUUCGGAAUUACUGGGCGUAAAGCGUACGUAGGCGGCUUUGUAAGUUAGAGGUGAAAGCCCGGGGCUUAACCCCGGAAUUGCCUUUAAGACUGCAUCGCUUGAAUCAUGGAGAGGUGAGUGGAAUUCCGAGUGUAGAGGUGAAAUUCGUAGAUAUUCGGAAGAACACCAGUGGCGAAGGCGACUCACUGGACAUGUAUUGACGCUGAGGUACGAAAGCGUGGGGAGCAAACAGGAUUAGAUACCCCGGUAGUCC